Long non-coding RNA from Protopterus annectens (West African lungfish), 656 nucleotides. RefSeq lists it as uncharacterized. NCBI's taxonomy places the organism in Eukaryota, Metazoa, Chordata, Ceratodontiformes, Protopteridae. The record is from RefSeq and is a predicted model, not a curated record. The transcript has 4 exons.
AUUGAACUCUAGCAGUGACAAUAAAUACAAACUCUGCUUGAAAGCCAGAAUUGAGAUAUUCCUGAACAUUGAAGUCUGCCAUGAAUCGUUGGGCAUUUACUCUCCUUCUCCUUGUUGUAGUAGCAGGAGUUAUUGGUGAAAAAGAUGGAACAGAAGAAGAAAUCAUAAAAUGUGGCGGAGGAAAAGGGCAAUGCUACCCACUUCAAUGCCCUCCACCAACAAGACCAAUUCCAGGAAGUUGUAUUAUUCCAUUUAAAUGCUGUGCCUUUUGAACGUGCUUCAAUGGAUUGAGAAUAUGCUGACUGAAAAAAACGGAUGAAACUGCUUCGCUACAAAUUAUAUGAUAUUGACGCUUAAUGUGUUUUCUGCUGAGAUGUGCAAUUUUCCUUCUUGCUAAAGAAACACAGCUGAGAUACAUUUUCUUCUUGUUUUAUAAAACCACCCUCACUGAAGGCAAAAAUGCACAAUGUAAAAACAAAUUCAGAUCCCAUUUUUGUGUGUUUAAGCGUUAAUAUAAAUAACCAAAAGCCACAUGUUGUUAACAAGUUUCAAUCUGACUCAAUCUAAAUGGGAAACAUUCUGACAUCCAAAUGUAGUGAUCUUUUUUAACUCUUGCUUACAGAACCCUUGCCAAUAAAAUUGUUCAUUUAGCAUAA